GGGAUGCGCUGAGAGCGGGAUGCGCUGGGAUCCCUCCCCGUGCAGCCGCCUGCGGAGCCCUUUAGAUGUCGCGCUGGAGCAGCGAGUCCCCCGUGAGCCCUCGGCCUCCUCCUCCCGCUGCUCUUCCAGCUCCCCUCCAGCCCGGCCGCGGCAGGCUCCGUUUGAGCCUUGGUCCCUUCUCCUCCCACUGCCAACUCUCUUCCCAGCCCUGGGUCCUGAGCCAGCUCCCGGUGAUGCUGCCCCAUGGACGGGGAGAGCCCUGCCUGGAGGAGGAGAUGGAGACUCCAGGGGGACAUGGGAGGGUGGGGUGGUCUCCAAGAGACCCUCAGCCCAGUGUGGAACCUCUCUGAGCAGAGCUGCCCAGGUGUGAAGUAUCCUUCUGCUGGCACAAUAAAUUGCAUUUCCAGUCCUCUUUGGGGGCCUGU
RNAcentral lists this long non-coding RNA (425 nucleotides) under Junco hyemalis (dark-eyed junco). RNAcentral describes it as "lncRNA (ENSJHYG00000000126.1)". The record is from RNAcentral. Lineage: Eukaryota; Metazoa; Chordata; Aves; Passeriformes; Passerellidae.